UGGGGAAUUUUGGACAAUGGGGGAAACCCUGAUCCUGCCAUCCCGCGUUUGCGAUGAAGGCCUUCGGGUUUUAAAGCACUUUUGGCAGGAAAGAAACGUCAUGGGUUAAUACCCCGUGAAACUGACGGUACCUGCAGAAUAAGCACCGGCUAACUACGUGCCAGCAGCCGCGGUAAUACGUUGGGUGCAAGCGUUAAUCGGAAUUACUGGGCGUAAAGCGUGCGCAGGCGGUACGGAAAGAAAGAUGUGAAAUCCCAGAGCUCAACUUUGGAACUGCAUUUUUAACUACCGGGCUAGAGUGUGUCAGAGGGAGGUGGAAGUCCGCGUGUAGCAGUGAAAUACGUAGAUAUGCGGAGGAACACCGAUGGAGAAGGCAGCCUCCUGGGAUAACACUGACGCUCAUGCACGAAAGCGUGGGGAGCAAACAGG
Molecule: ribosomal RNA, 429 nt
Filed under: Acidobacteriota bacterium
Lineage: Bacteria; Pseudomonadati; Acidobacteriota
Description: Acidobacteria bacterium partial 16S ribosomal RNA
Rfam family: Bacterial small subunit ribosomal RNA
Source: RNAcentral